RNAcentral lists this small RNA (577 nucleotides) under Pongo abelii (Sumatran orangutan). RNAcentral describes it as "processed transcript". Lineage: Eukaryota; Metazoa; Chordata; Mammalia; Primates; Hominidae. The record is from RNAcentral.
GGGGGUGAAAAGGCAAAAGGCGGGUGAAAGGCUGCCUCCCGAGGCUCUCCUUGCUUGGAAUUCUGCCCACUCUGCGGAGUUAGGAGUCACGACCUCCAGCACAGGGCUGUCGUCACGAUCUGUGCCAGUUGCGCGACAGAGUCUGCCCGGAGAUCAGCGUGAGGCCAGAUGGGCCUAGCGCUCAGGAAGAGCUGGAAGAGCUGGAGCAAGCUCGCGUUGGGACUGACGCCCAGUGUACAUUGUUUCAAUCUCGGUCGGACUUUACAGCCCUGGAUCUGUCACUGACUUGGUGUUUAGCUUUCAGCGAGUCCCUACCCUCUCCCUGCCUCACUUUGUUCGGCAGUAGAGUGGAAGGUGGAACUCAGCUGUCUGCAAAAUCUUGCAGCACUUUCUUGCGUUCUCAUAUCCACUAAUGUUCUCUGCCCAGAUUUUACCCUUUGUCUGCCCCCUCUGGAGCAAGGCACUGGGUAAGUUAGGCUAGGAAGUUUUCUUUCUCUUUCAAAAACAAUUGAAAAGCCUUUAAAUACUCCUGACUGCCCUGGAAACCACAUUCGAACCAUUAAUUGAAUGUCAACUC